GUUAAGCGACUAAGCGUACACGGUGGAUGCCCUGGCAGUCAGAGGCGAUGAAGGGCGUGCUAAUCUGCGAUAAGCGCCGGUAAGGUGAUAUGAACCGUUAUAACCGGCGAUACCCGAAUGGGGAAACCCAGUGUGAUUCGUCACACUAUCAUUAACUGAAUCCAUAGGUUAAUGAGGCGAACCGGGGGAACUGAAACAUCUAAGUACCCCGAGGAAAAGAAAUCAACCGAGAUUCCCCCAGUAGCGGCGAGCGAACGGGGAGGAGCCCAGAGCCUGAAUCAGCAUGUGUGUUAGUGGAAGCGUCUGGAAAGGCGCGCGAUACAGGGUGACAGCCCCGUACACAAAAGCGCAUGUGCUGUGAGCUCGAUGAGUAGGGCGGGACACGUGGUAUCCUGUCUGAAUAUGGGGGGACCAUCCUCCAAGGCUAAAUACUCCUGACUGACCGAUAGUGAACCAGUACCGUGAGGGAAAGGCGAAAAGAACCCCGGCGAGGGGAGUGAAAAAGAACCUGAAACCGUGUACGUACAAGCAGUGGGAGCACCCUUCGGGGUGUGACUGCGUACCUUUUGUAUAAUGGGUCAGCGACUUAUAUUCUGUAGCAAGGUUAACCGUAUAGGGGAGCCGGAGGGAAACCGAGUCUUAAUUGGGCGUUAAGUUGCAGGGUAUAGACCCGAAACCCGGUGAUCUAGCCAUGGGCAGGUUGAAGGUUGGGUAACACUAACUGGAGGACCGAACCGACUAAUGUUGAAAAAUUAGCGGAUGACCUGUGGCUGGGGGUGAAAGGCCAAUCAAACCGGGAGAUAGCUGGUUCUCCCCGAAAGCUAUUUAGGUAGCGCCUCGUGAAUUCAUCUCCGGGGGUAGAGCACUGUUUCGGCUAGGGGGCCAUCCCGGCUUACCAACCCGAUGCAAACUGCGAAUACCGGAGAAUGUUAUCACGGGAGACACACGGCGGGUGCUAACGUCCGUCGUGAAGAGGGAAACAACCCAGACCGCCAGCUAAGGUCCCAAAGUCAUGGUUAAGUGGGAAACGAUGUGGGAAGGCCCAGACAGCCAGGAUGUUGGCUUAGAAGCAGCCAUCAUUUAAAGAAAGCGUAAUAGCUCACUGGUCGAGUCGGCCUGCGCGGAAGAUGUAACGGGGCUAAACCAUGCACCGAAGCUGCGGCAGCGAACGUAUCACCCAAGACAACUUUACGGAGUUGACGAUUGACGGAGCGAAGCGACGUCAAAGCGUUCAUUAAAGUCGAGUUGGCUUAGGGAUACGUUCGUUGGGUAGGGGAGCGUUCUGUAAGCCUGUGAAGGUGUGUCGUGAGGCAUGCUGGAGGUAUCAGAAGUGCGAAUGCUGACAUAAGUAACGAUAAAGCGGGUGAAAAGCCCGCUCGCCGGAAGACCAAGGGUUCCUGUCCAACGUUAAUCGGGGCAGGGUGAGUCGACCCCUAAGGCGAGGCCGAAAGGCGUAGUCGAUGGGAAACGGGUUAAUAUUCCCGUACUUGGUGUUACUGCGAAGGGGGGACGGAGAAGGCUAUGUUGGCCGGGCGACGGUUGUCCCGGUUUAAGCGUGUAGGUGUGUGUUCCAGGUAAAUCCGGUUCACUUUAACACUGAGGCGUGACGACGAGGCACUACGGUGCUGAAGCAACAAAUGCCCUGCUUCCAGGAAAAGCCUCUAAGCAUCAGGUAACACGAAAUCGUACCCCAAACCGACACAGGUGGUCAGGUAGAGAAUACCAAGGCGCUUGAGAGAACUCGGGUGAAGGAACUAGGCAAAAUGGUGCCGUAACUUCGGGAGAAGGCACGCUGACACGUAGGUGAAGUGAUUUACUCAUGGAGCUGAAGUCAGUCGAAGAUACCAGCUGGCUGCAACUGUUUAUUAAAAACACAGCACUGUGCAAACACGAAAGUGGACGUAUACGGUGUGACGCCUGCCCGGUGCCGGAA
RNAcentral lists this ribosomal RNA (1933 nucleotides) under Salmonella enterica subsp. enterica serovar Typhimurium. RNAcentral describes it as "partial 23S ribosomal RNA". It matches the Rfam family "Bacterial large subunit ribosomal RNA", at positions 1 to 1874 of the family's 2925-position model. The record is from RNAcentral. Lineage: Bacteria; Pseudomonadati; Pseudomonadota; Gammaproteobacteria; Enterobacterales; Enterobacteriaceae.